CACAUUGUUACCUUAAAACAUGAGUAAAAUUGGUUGUUGUUUAAGAUAUGAGGUUGUACCUUACUCCUUGGAUGGUUGAUUAAGAAUUUUCCCUUCAAUAUCAAAAUUGCAUUCAAUACAUUUUAGAAGUGAUGAAAGACUAUUUCCUUAAAACAAUGAAAAAAGAGUGAAACACUUUAAUUCCUUAUGUUAUGUCCAAUGAUACUGUACCGCCCUGGUAGUCGGAAGUGAUGACGUGGCAUCAAGCUACAGUACAGGCGUGUUAACGAGAUGCCAGGUUGGCAGAAGGGAAGGAAGUCGGGGGGCUAGUGAAAUCGCCAGUUAUGAAGUUGGCGUGCUCCGAUCUCCAGUAUACCAGAACCGGCGGUCACCGGGUUAAAGAUGAAGUCGUCAGAUGUGAACUCAGGCGACCAAGUGAUUAGAGAUCGCCGGAGCAAGCACAUCGCCGAAGAUGAAGGUGGUGCAGAUUAUGAAGGCGGCCGACGAGACCACAGGGAAGGUGUACGAAGGCACCCUAACUCGCCAAUCCCAGUAGAGAUCGCACUCCAAGUUAGCUAUGCACUGGGCAGUACCAUGCAUAGGUAACUUAGCCAAAAGAGAGUCAGAAGCAGCGCCCAAGUCAAGGAGCCCCGAGGCCCGAUUAAGGGACAGAUUUUCGCAGAUUUCGUGGUCGAGCUCUCAUCUGAGGCGACGCGAGUUGAAGGGGACGAUUUCCGUUGGGUGCUCUCGGUGGAUGGAUCGUCGAACCAGCAGGGUAGCGGUGCUGGAGUCAUCUUGGAAGGACCCAACAGCGUGCUGAUCGAACAAUCUUUGAGGUUUUCCUUCAAAGCCAGCAACAAUCAAGCAGAAUAUGAGGCGCUGAUCGCCGGGAUUUUGCUGGCCAAAGAGAUGGGAGUCAGGGUGUUGAUGGCUAAGAGUGACUCGCUGCUAGUCACGGGGCAAGUAACAGGCGAGUUCCAGGCUAAAGAUCCACAAAUGGCGGCUUACCUAGAGUAUGUGCAGGAAUUGAAGAGUUCCUUUGCCUCCUUUGAAGUGGUGCAUGUGCCCAGAGAGCAGAAUGCCCGAGCUGACUUGCUAGCUAAGCUCGCCAGUUCAGGCAAGGGGGGUAGGCAGAGGACGGUGAUUCAAGAAACUCUGAAGACGCCGAGAGCAUUUGUAGCAGAUCACCUGGUUCUGCAGAUAAGCAGGUCGACGGAAAAAGCGGCAAGAAGUCACAGGUCUNNNNNNNNNNNNNNNNNNNNNNNNNNNNNNNNNNNNNNNNNNNNNNNNNNNNNNNNNNNNNNNNNNNNNNNNNNNNNNNNNNNNNNNNNNNNNNNNNNNNNNNNNNNNNNNNNNNNNNNNNNNNNNNNNNNNNNNNNNNNNNNNNNNNNNNNNNNNNNNNNNNNNNNNNNNNNNNNNNNNNNNNNNNNNNNNNNNNNNNNNNNNNNNNNNNNNNNNNNNNNNNNNNNNNNNNNNNNNNNNNNNNNNNNNNNNNNNNNNNNNNNNNNNNNNNNNNNNNNNNNNNNNNNNNNNNNNNNNNNNNNNNNNNNNNNNNNNNNNNNNNNNNNNNNNNNNNNNNNNNNNNNNNNNNNNNNCUACUGGCCAACGAUGAGAGAAGAUUGCAAGAGGUAUGCGCAGUGUUGCAAACAAUGCCAACAACACGCCGAUUGGCACAAGGCGCCUCCCGAGGAGUUGAAGUCGAUCUACAGCCCUUGGCCGUUUCAUACAUGGGGAAUCGACAUCCUGGGACCUUUCCCGCUGGCGAUCAGGCAGAUGAAGUACUUGGUGGUGGCGAUUGAGUAUUUCACCAAGUGGAUCGAAGCAGAACCAGUGGCCCAGAUCACCGCACACAAGAUCGAAGGUUUCGUGUGGAAGAACAUUGUGUGCCGGUUUGGUGUGCCCAAGCGCCUGGUGUCGGACAAUGGGACUCAGUUUGCAAGCCACCUGUUGAAGAAGCUGUGCGAAGGGGUGGGAAUUCAGCAAGUGUUUGCAUCCGUCGAGCACCCUCAGACAAAUGGCCAAGUAGAGUCAGCUAAUCGGGUGUUGCUAAGAGGUUUGAAGAGAAGGUUAGAGAAAGCCAAAGGAGGCUGGGCUGAGGAGGUACCCCGUAUAGUCUGGGCGUACCACACCACCGAGCAGUCAGGAACCCAUGAGACCCCGUUCAGCUUAGUCUAUGGGUGCGAUGCAAUGAUUCCAGUAGAGAAUCAGGAGAGCUCGCCGAGAUUUCAGAACUUCGUAGAGGAAGAAUCGAAUGAGGAGAGAAGGUUGAACCUGGAUCUACUGGAUGAGGUCAGGGAAGAGGCGAGAUUAAAAGCUGAAGCGGUGAAGAGAAGGAUUGAACGAAGAUAUAACUCGAAGGUGAUGCCGAGACAGUUCAGAGAGGGCGACCUGGUGAUGAGGAAAGCCCACCAGUAUGAGAUGGAGAAUAAGUUGUCGCCUAAGUGGACGGGACCGUUCAGAAUAACCGAGGCGCUCGGGAACGGCGCCUACCGCUUAGAGACAUUGGAAGGAGGGGCGAUUCCUCGCACUUGGAACGCCACGCACCUCAAGUUAUAUUACAGUUGAGAACUUUGUAAGUAAAGACAAACACGAAGUUAUAUUACAAUGUCUAUGUUAAAACAGUUUGAAGGGGGCACUCUUUUUUCCCUAAGGAGGGUUUUUAACGAGGCCACCCAAUAAAGAGGAGUUUUCGAAGUUUAAGUUGUUUUAGAUUGCAUGUUUGUUGUUUUCCGAAAGUUUUGAAGAAAGACCUUGUCACUUAUAUGUGAUUUAAGGCAAGUUAAAGAUAUGUUGCAUGCUUUCUAAAAGGUUUCUAAGUCCUCAUCGUCUUUCGGCGAUCGGAGGCACCAGUUAAAAGACCUCAACGCCCUCGCGCGUUCUGAGGCGAGAUAAAGACCUCCUCGCCGUCGAGCGAGUGCAGGCGAGGAAGAGUGAAAAGUCCUCAGUGUUUCUGGGGGUGAGAAGAUGUAACCCCUGGGGCAAUGUAGAGGCACCAGUGAAAAGUCCUCAGUGCUUCUGGGGGCGAGAAGAUGUAACCCCUGGGGCAAUGUAGAGGCACCAGCGAAAGUCCUCAGUGUUUCUGAGGGGGAGGAGAUGUAACCCCUGGGGCAAUGUAGAGGCACGAGUUAAAAGACCUUCUCGCCUAUGAGCGAGUUCAGGCGAGUUAAAAGACCUUCUCGCCUAUGAGCGAGUUCAGGCGAGUAAAAGACCUUCUCGCCUAUGAGCGAGUUCAGGCGAGUUAAAAACCUUCUCGCCUAUGAGCGAGUUCAGGCAAGAUAAAAUCCUUCUCGUCUCGAACGAGUUCAGGUAUGGUGUAAAGGGUGGAAGAAGUUUGAAGGGUGGCUAAGGUAGGUUCGAAGAGAGCGCUUAGCCACCCGGUCUUUUGUUCUGAAGCUCAAGGAGGUAGAGAAGGAUCCGAAAGGCGCCUCUACCCCCAGAUAAAGGAACAAUGGCCAAGGUAUGAAGCCAGAAAGAAGCUGAUAUCGCUAAGAGUCUUUGGCGACCAGGAAAAGUUCAAGCAGUUGCAAGAAAGUUAAAGACCCGUUUUGAUGAAGCAGGUCGGGUUAGUGGUGUCUUAAGCCAUUGGUUGAGUUAAAGUUCGUUGUUUGAAGAGUGAUUUUACGCUAAGGUUCAUUACCUUGAGAUUACAAGUUGUUAGAGUGAUUGUUAUUCGAAAGUCAGUGGUUCGAAGCAGUUAAGUACACGAUUGCGCUUACGAAAUCGCUAAGUUAAUUUCUUGAAGAAAAUUGUGCGAACAAAGAUAAAGCAGCCAAAGAAGUUACAAGAGAAAUACAAGGACUUUAUCAUCAAAGUAAAUAUCGGUUCGAGGCACAUGUACAGGAAAAUAUAAAGUUUAUUACAAUUAUAUGUAAGUAGAAAGCAUAAAGGUAGUGGAUGGAGGGAAUCGAUCAGUCUUCAGCAGGAACAACCUUCCCAUCCACCACCUCGUUGUUGAGAGACACCAUGCUGAGAUCUAGAUCGGGGAACAAGCAGGCAAACUGUUCCCGUGCGGCCUCGAAUCCAGCAGCAAGAAUUUGGGCAGAACUCAGAUUAAGUUCUUCGAUCUGUUUCUUAAGUUCUUCAAUUUGUUCCUUCAGUCCCUCGUUCUGCUGCUUCAGCUCUUCAGCUUGCUUCUUGAGUUCUUCGUUGGUUUCCUGAGCUUGAAGAAGGUUUUCAGCAACCUUCUUGGAUUCUGCCUGCACCUGGCCCAGUUCAGCGGCGAUCUUCCCUUUUUCUUCGUUGGCUUCGGCAAGUUUAGCCAUGGUGUCGUCUCUUUCUUUCUCCACCGUCCCCAGGAAGACCUCCCGAUCGGCUGACCUUUGUUCGAGCUUCUUUACCUUGGCGGCGUCAGCUUUGAUCAAGGCCUCCAGGUCAGCCACUUUGACGCGAUAAGGCACUAGCUUGCUCUCCAACUCAAUCUUCUCUUGAGCCAAGAGCUGUACCUUAUGGCGGAGAUCGGUGGCCUCCUUGCGUGCCACCCGGAGCUCGGUGCUCAUGGCAUCUUCUACUCGGGAGUGUUCGACCUCGGCGAGUGUAAGAUUGCAGGAUAACCUCUCCACCUCAAUCCUUAUGGUGUUGUUCUCAGUUCGGAGUGCGAAGAGGUCAUCCUGGAGCUUCCUAGUAGAACUCUCCACAGCUUUAGAUAUGAUGGAGGGGAAAUCCUCCACCAUCAUCUUCAGUUUCGCUGAGAAGGGCUCCCAUACCCUUUUUACCUCAAGAGAGAGGUUCGCUUGUGGAGGCGCAGGGGGGGCUUGUUGUUGGUUUUCGCCGCCACCUUCUUGAGUUGGUUGCUCAGUGAGUGCUUCUUGGCGUGGUGGCGACGUCGGGGAUUCAGUAAUAAGAAUUGGAGAGUGGUGAGCACCUUCAUCCCCGACUGGUGCAGCGUUUGCGGUUGAGGCGUUUGAAGGAGGACCCCCUCCAGCUGAUACAUAAGGCGUGGAGGCGCUCGGGGGAUUCUCCAUGAAGUUGGCUUCGGCGGCCUCAACCACAGGAGGCGCAGAUGCCAAUGGAAUCGCUUGGACUGGCGAGGCGGGAGCUGGUGGAGGAAGCAAUGUUGGAGGCGGAGCGGGUGUGGAUGGCGGUGUUGAUGUUGGAAGAGGGGGUGGAGCAGAUGGUGAAGAAGGCGCCACCCUCUUCCUCUUGGUGACAAGGCCAUCUUCCGUCGCCUCGUCGUCUUCUUCUUCCUCCUCAUGGACUACUCGGGGGGCUUUCCUCUUUGGUUUCCUGAGGAUAAGCUUUUGGCGUUGGUUGACGGGUUGGGCCUCAGAGGAAGUUGGGCCUUUGGGUGGCGAUCUGCCCUGAGCAGCGGCGAUCUCCACCACAGAGUUUGGCACGGUUUGGGAACUCGAUGCCAACCCAUGGGAUCGGGCGAGCGCCCUCAGUUCAGCGAGCUUUCCUUGGCCCAACAUACGAUCUGCAUAUUGCAAAGAUACAUGGGUUAGUUCAGAAGGAAGGGUAAACACAUAAGGCAGUAUGCAGCAAAAGCAGAUAAAUGGUGCAGAAAAUAAAACCAAAGUCUUGCGCACAACGCACAAGACGCCCAGAAACAGUUAACAGAGAUAAUGUCAAGGAAAUAACUUAAACGUUGAGGUGAGUUCUAACCUAUGCGAAUUUCGAGUUGAUCUUCGAAGAACUCGAAGCAGAUGAGCGUGGUGGUGAGGAAGGUGAUGUUGGCGUCUGCCACACUCUUCCAGAAGAAGCAUAGGUCCCUGUCCAAGGCACCCAUGCUAUCAGGACUCCUUGGCCUCCUGAAGCUGCUUUUGGACUCUUUGUUCCCCUUGUUUACCCAAUACAAGGGGAAACCGUCGAGCAGGGAAGCAUCCUUGUCAUUUGGGCGCACCUGGACGAACUUGCCCUUCCAGUCUUUGUAGGAUUGCUGGAAGAUAGAGAGGAUCGACCUCCCAGCAAUCCCGUUCAAGCUUACCCACAGGCGAUCUCCUGGGUGCUUGGCUUCGAAAAGAAAGAGGAAGACGUCCACUGACGCUGGCAGCCCCAAGUGGUCGCACAUUAUCUGGAAGGCUCGUACGAACGCCCAGCUGUUGGGAUGGAGCUGGGCGGCGGCGAUGUCGAGCUCGGUGAGAAGCUCCCUUUCAAAGCGAGUGAAGGGAAACCUAAGUUUCACCUUCUUGAACAGAGUGGUAUAUAUGAGGCAGAACAACCCGCCGGUGUUCCCUUAUCAUCAACGCACACCGGCAUGUCGGGAGAGCAAGGCAGCACCAUCAUCUUCUCGUCGUGCUCCUUGUGGAACGAUAGGUGAGGCUCGUCCCCCUUCUUCAAUCGCAGAACUGCCAGCAGAGUUUACAGAAGAUGUUUCCUUCAACAAAGUCGGGGUGGCCCAUGGGUACAGUUUUUUGAAAUCUGGAGAAGGCACGGAGGCUCCUCCGGCGACGGGUGGAGUGGCCUGAGCCAAGUUGGGGCGGGAGGGUGCAGGCCUCUCAGCCUGAGAAGAAGAAGCACCGCGUGCUCGCGGUGGGUUGUGUGCUUGUGAGGAGGGGUUUCGUGACGAAGGAGGAGGAUUUGGGGAGAUCUUUGAGCGAGUCAUUGCGGAAGCUGCAAAGGAAGAAGAAAAGAAAAGGUGAUCAGGACUCGCAGCGGCUGACUCGAUCAUGAACGAAGGGUGAAAAAACGAACGAACGAAGGUUCGUUGUAACGAAGACAAAGCCCUAAGUUACGAAGAAGGAGAAAUAGAAAAAACAACCCACAACGUAUGCACCAGACAGUUAAAGGAUGAUGCGAAUCGGUUAAAAUGCAGGAAAAACCAGCAGAAGAAGGAAAGGAAGUACCUUUUUAUGAUCGGAAGGGUGUUGGAGGAGGUUGGUGAUUCAGGAAGUUGAAGAACGUUGAGAGCUUUUGCAGAAGAGAGUUGGAGCGUCUGAGAAUACGAAGAAAGUGAUGGAACAGUGGAGCGAAAUGGGUUUAAGGGUUUUUCGAAAUGAGUUUGGGAAGCGCAAACGACAAUUGAAGGUAACCGUUGAUGAAGCCAUGUGUCGAGCGAUGGGAGGAGUGUUUGGUGGAGCGUCAGAGGAGCAGAAAGUACAACCGCUUGAAAUUCUGCGCCAGUGCCACGUAGAUCGGUAUUGACGUGACUCUUUUAGUCUUUUCGCUGGACAAGUCUUCGCUUAAGUCUUCGCUUGUGUACCGCCCUGGUAGUCGGAAGUGAUGACGUGGCAUCAAGCUACAGUACAGGCGUGUUGACGAGAUGCCAGGUUGGCAGAAGGGAAGGAAGUCGGGGGGCUAGUGAAAUCGCCAGUUAUGAAGUUGGCGUGCUCCGAUCUCCAGUAUACCAGAACCGGCGGUCACCGGGUUAAAGAUGAAGUCGCCAGAUGUGAACUCAGGCGACCAAGUGAUUAGAGAUCGCCGGAGCAAGCACAUCGCCGAAGAUGAAGGUGGUGCAGAUUAUGAAGGCGGCCGGCGAGACCACAGGGAAGGUGUACGAAGGCACCCUAACUCGCCAAUCCCAGUAGAGAUCGCACUCCAAGUUAGCUAUGCACUGGGCAGUACCAUGCAUAGGUAACUUAGCCAAAAGAGAGUCAGAAGCAGCGCCCAAGUCAAGGAGGCUCCAGAUGAUGGCACGUGUACGACUGGAUGCGAGCCACGUGUCCAGGUGCGUAACUGCCAGGAGAGAGAAAGUGACCAGGUAUAUAAGGGUUUCCCAACGAACUUCUGAGGUACGCACGUUCAGAUUGUAUUCUUUACGCUUGCGAGUUCUUGAGCAUACUGUGAGAGAGAACAUUGCACGGUUCCUUGAGAGUUCCUGAGUGUUACUCUUGUACUAUUUGGUGGUUCAGUCACUGACUUGGGCGUUGGAGUGCGAUCGGCCGCAGCGGCGCCGCUCUGUUCUUUUGCAGGUUCUUGAGGUGGAUCGUGACGAAGGACGGAGGUUGACGCGGUGCACACGUCGAUCCAAGUUUGACGAGGCAAGUUCCAACGUUUUGAUCAACAGGCAGGAUCAGAUACAAAUAAAUUUAGUAACGUGAUCCUCUACUGUUGACCAAAAUGCAUCUUUUACGAACCCAUAUCCCCUUAAUCGUUGAUCUAAAUUAAUUAAAGCUUUUAGUUCCAUGCAAAUAAUGUCCUGAAUUUGUUCAAUGUGCACCAAUUAUGACAUCAACUACUACCAAUGAUACUUUUUUUGUGGUAAGAACUUUGUUAUAAUGUUUUCCAUAGCACUCGACACAUGCAACAUAUAUUAUUCAUAAGAAACAAUACAAAGGAUCGUUAGGGCAACUACUUUUGGGACCAAGAUCUUUCUUUACACAAUACCAAAACUUGUUUUAAGAAUAUAGUAAUAGAUUCCUUUAACAAAUAAAAUAAUGAACUGAAGUGAUAGUAAUGAACCAACAACAACUAAUCAAAUUUGAACUAUGAACUGAAGCUUUUCAAUCUCAAACUUCCUCUUCACUUGUUUGUAAUCAACCUACACAUAAUAUUGCAUACUAUAAAUGGUUUAUUCAAUGUUUAAACUAACUUUCAUACAACAUAACAACCAUGUACACUCCAACCAAUGGAAACGAAAGUCACACAAAAAAAAAACAAGGCCAUAAUUGAUUAUGUGGGUAGCAUAACUGAUUAUCCUAUGAAAUUUUGAAGUGCCACUCAUAUAUUCGAUUAUGAAAAAGUUUCUUCUGAACAAGUUACCACAAAACACCAGGGUGACCAAUACCUUUCUUCACAUGAACACCACCACAAUUCACUUUACACAUCACCAACACCAACUCAAGUUGCACCGACCAUUGAACCAAAUUGCACUUCAUACACCACCACUUCAAGAAGAGAUGAAGAACGAAACCAACCACUACUCCAACUCAAAUGAGAACGAAGAAGAAAACCAUGAACCAAAGGAGCACCAAGGUCAUAUCAGUUAAUGUAUUUUUAAUGGAAAUUUCAAAUGCUUAGCAAUAAUCAAAUGAUUCCAUAAACCAUAAACGUUCAAGAAUAUAUAUGCAUGAAUGCUUGAAAAAUCUCUACAACGUUCAACCAUGCACAAUGAAAAAGGCAAGGGUAAUUUAGUCUUAUCCUCACACAUUAGUUGUUUUUCUCCUCCUUUCUUCACACCUUGACCAAGCACCACAAAUCUCCUUCUCCCGCAAAUCCCUACCCCCACUACCUCGCACAUUAGUUUAUCCAAAUGAGGUUCACUGUCUAAUAAUCUCCUUCAUAUUCGAGUGAAGAGUACUUACCUAGAUCCAAACACAAUGUAAUUGAAGAAAACAAUAUAAAUAAUAAUAAUAAUAAUAGUAAUAGUAUUAUUAUUAUUAUUGAAAUUGACAUAUUUAUACAAAAUUACUCAUUUUAUACUAAAUCAUCUUUUUUAUUUUUGAAAAUAUUUUCUUUUACUUUCUUAUUUUAUUUUUUUUCAACUAUACUACUAUCACUACAAGAAAAAUGAUUUUUAAUAGGGGUUAUAAGUGUAUUAUCUACGAUUUACUUUUUUCCCGGGAAGAUCCAGCGUCGCUAUUUUCGACGGUUUUGGAAACCCUUAUUAUUUUCGACGGUUUUGGAAACCCUCGCUAUUUUUGGUGGUUUUGAAAACCCCCGUUAUUUACAGUAGUUCUAAAAGCAUCCAUUAUUUCCGACGGUUUUGAAAAUCCCCAUUAUUUUCUACCGAUUUGAAAACCCAUUAUUUCCAACUGUUUCUAAAUAUUUGUUACUUCUAACGAUUUCUAAAUUACUUUCAGCAAUUUCAUUACCCCAUUAAUUUUAUUUGUUAUUUUUUUAAUUGGUUGUAUUUUGAUAAUGUAUAUAAAUUCAUUAUAAUCAUCUUGUUAAUUUCAUCUUAUUUGUUUAAUAGGUGAUACAUAAUGAUAAAAGUAAAAAAAAAAAUUAAAAAAAAAUUGUUAUGGAUUUUAGCUUCAUAUUCUUGUUUUUUAGUCAUCAUUCUCCUUCACAAUAAACGGUCGAAAAGAGAAAUUAAUGCAUAUAUGUUUCCUCGAUUUAAUUAUUUUGCAGGAGUUAUUAGUUAUUGGUUAUAACAGCACUCUGGAACACACCAUAAAAAAUACAAAAAUUAUACAACAAACUAGUUAGGGUAACCUCAUCAUUGUGGAAGUGUUAGAGUUAAUUAUUAGAAAUCUAGAAAAAAAAAGGCUAACUCUAAAAGUAGUGUCCAGCUCAAGAAAAGAUGGUAUAUUUGAAGAUAGACAGACUAAUUAUAAAAAAAAUCUUCCAAGGAACUUUCUUUAUGCGUCAUCAUUAAAUUAUAAAUUGUGUGAUAUAACGUGGUUGAUUUUUAUAAUAAUUUUGUUAAAUAUUAUAAUAAAAUCAUUUUUAGAUAAACUUUUUUUUAUAUAAAUGAUUAUUGAAAACAAAAAUUAAUAAUUUUGUUUAUUUAGAUUUAACUAUGUUUUUAUCCCUAAAAUAUGAAUUUUCUUUUGGUAUCUUAAAAUCUCCUAAAAAUAUAUAUUUUUUCAUUUAUUUUGUGAAAAAAAAAUUCAUUCUCUGAAAUUUUCCUUGAAAUAUUUUUUAAAUAAAAUAUUUGGUGUUGGAAUAAAAUUUUAUCACAUGUUUUUUCAUUAAAUAAUGACAUGUCAAACAGAGUCAAUAUAACAAAGAUGAAAUACACAAUAAAAAAAUUAGGAACUAGAAAAAGAAGAAAUAAAUUUAUAGGAUCAAAAGAAAAAGUUAAACUGCUAAAAAAAAUAUUUAUUUUUUUAUAAACUGAAUUUAAUUUAUGUAUAGAGUAAAGUUUUAUAAUUUAUAGUUUAUGUAAAAACUAAAGUGUGUAUAUAUAUAAAUAUUUAUUGUAAGGAUUGAGAAAAAAUAGUAUUAGAGUAGAAGUGGUACAAUUAAAAUGACACCUGAAUAGUUUAUUAUUAAAUUUAAAAGAGCAUAUAAAUAGAAUUUCAGUUAUUCAGUUUUCAUUUUAAAAAGAACCACCAUCUCUCUAGAAAGUUCUUUUUCCUUUCCUCUCCCUUUUCUCUAAGAUUUUGACUUCCUCGCUCAUCAGUUCGACGAUUGAAGUCCACCAUCAGACUCCUGGUAGUGAAUACUACAAGACUGUCCGAUUAGAAUCUCUGAUAGAGUAAGUUCACUUUUGCUCUUCUCUUUAAGUCAAAUUUUGAACUUGUUAGGUUGUUUUUGUUUUUGCUUUGCAUGUGAUCAUUUUAGCUUCAGGGUUAAUCUCUGUUAGCUUAGGGUCCUAGUGAUAUAGUUAGAUAUUUUAUUAGGACUCUGUGAUGCAGGUUAUGUUACCUUUAAGUUCUUGGUAGAUUUGGAGCUCUUAGUGAGCAUCGACUAAAUUUCAGGUAAGGGAAGCUAACCUUAAUUUCCAAUAGAACACUAGGCUAGAAGAUCUGCAUGUGGGGGUGAUGUGGUCACCAGUCUCAAACUUUCUUCCAGAAUUGCUUGUUUUAAGUAUAUUAGAAAUUGACUGAGAUUUGAAUGUGAAAUUUGGUAUAUGGUUGCUGUCAUAAAAUUGUAAUGUUGUAGAUUAUUGGUUGUUUGAUGUUGAUUGAGAGAAAUUUUCAGCUAUAGCAUGAACUUGUUAUUUUUGGGUGCACCCUGGUGUCAUUUAGAUCAAACUAAAUUAUUUUCGAUCAAUCCAAAAGUACUGGGUGCACUCUGGUGUCAUUUAGAUCAAACUAAAUUAUUUUCGAUCAAUCUAAAAGUACUGGGUGCACUCUAGUGUCAUUUAGAUCAAACUAAAAUAUUUUCGAUCAAUCCAAAAGUAUUGGGUGCACUCUGGUAAUUUUCAGGAAAGGAAAUACCGUGUUGAGAUUGUUGUUAGGUUGUAUUGAUCUGUCAGGCCCGUAAUGAGACAUCCUGACUCUACUGAUAUAAUGGAAUUACAUAGAUGAAGUUAUUCAGUUGAUGAGAGUCGAUGGAGGUUCAUAUGACUUUGUUUGGAGUUUGAAAUAUAAUUUGGUCUUUCAGGUCAUAUGAAUUUACCCUGUCAUACGAGAUGAUGAGAUAUUGAGAUGUUUAUGUGCAUGGUUGUGUGGAUUCACAACGAGUAGUAUGACAGGUGCAAGUCUCAGAAUUCUAAUUUCAAUACACGAGUCUUCCGGAAGUAGAGUCAAGUGUCUAGGUGAUAUGAGUCCGUGGAAGUCUGACAUGUGAAAGAUGAAUAUUGAAUUUUUAUAAACACUUGAUGAUUUGAGAAAUUGUAUGAAACUUAAUGAUUUAUGUUUAUUAAUUUCAAAUUGAAAUUAUAUAGAAUUUUGUUUUAUAUAGCUAGAUUACCCUGUUAUUUGUUUGUGUUGUUUCUCUAUCUGUGAUGAUCGUGUAUUUACACGGGAGCAGAUGAUGUUACAGGUGAUUGAGCUCUUCCUCAGUGAGAAGCUGAAUGAUGAAUUUUGAAUAUUUGUUUUAAUUUUAUGUAGAUAUAUGUUUCGUAACAUUUUAAGAAAGAGUGGUGGACAUAAUUGUAUUAUGUUUAUAUAUUUUUUUUAAUAUUUUAUACAGAUUUUAAUUUUUAGAUGUGGAAAAAUACAGGAAUGUUACAUUAUAACACUUAAAAAAAUGAUUUUUUUCAUUAGUUGAUAGGAUAAAAUUUGGGAGUGAUUGUUGAUAUGAAUAUUAAACUCUUAAAAAGCCUUGUUAAAACAAUUAAUGAUAUAUUCGAUAAUGGCAAUAGUGAAAAAACAUUGCAGUGGUCUGAUCAAAAUUUACAUUUUAUGAAGAAUGUGUCCUACAUUGAUUCUUGGAAAUGGAAAAUUCAAGAAAGAAAACUUCUACUCAUACACUGACUUUAGUUAUAAAAUUAAGUUCAGUUGAAACAAAAUUAACAGUAACUUUUAUAUUUAUAUUUGAAUUAAGAUUAAAAGAGGGAGAUGAUGUAUAUAAGAAGAAAAAAGUUUACAACAUUAAAGCGGUUCAGAUAUGAUGAGAAGGAUGGUACGAUGGUCUACCACAAAACUUGACCCACGAGUUUCAUAUCUGAUACUGUUCCAUUUCUUUUUUUACAAGUCAAAGUUGCUCCAGUAAUAGUAUUAGAAUUUAUUUUAAAGUGUUAGCACAUUCAACAUAUUAAAGUAUUCACAAACUAAAAAUCACCACUACAUCUACUAUGAAAUACUUUCAUAACAAAAUCAUAUUAUAACGUACCUUAUUCAGAAAGCUUCCAGAGUAAAACCAAAUGUCAAUUUUCUUAGAUAAAUUUUGGCAUCUAGAGCUCCUAGCAAAUUGAUGAACAGAUAUAGAGUAAAUUUUCAUGCAUGAGGAUUAGGGGUACAAUUGUUAUUUACAGUAUGUCAUUGGAGUGGAAAACACACACAAAAAAGGUCAAAGAUAUUUUAGAAAAAAUGUUUGAAUUAACCUUAGGCUUGAAUAGAGUUUUCAAUUUCCAUAUUGAUUGAUGAAUCAAUAGAUCAAUUGUCAGGAGCUCCUAAGACUUCUUCUGCCCCUGCUAGAUACUGCAUAUUUUAAGAGUUUCAUUAUAGAGUUACAAUUGAAAUGAGGAAUAUAUAAGCAAAAAAAUGCAUAUUAUUACUGCAGUGGAAAUGGGGAAUGUCACUGGCAUGAUUACCAUUAUGUUGCUGCGUGUGAAUGUGCAGAGAACAAGCAGGAUAAAUGAGCAACAAAAUUUAAUGGAUCUACUACAACUUGCUUAAUUUAAUUCGCCAUAAAAGAGCAUUAAAUUGAUGAGAAAUAUAAUUUGAAAAAUUGAAAUGAAAAGUGUUGAAAAUGAAGCUUUGAUGUCUCCAAAUUUGUGAAGAGAACUUGAUGCCUGUGCUGCUGUGUUUGGGGCUUAGUUCUAGGUAGUUCAGAAUUUGUAAAAUUCAUUCUUAAUCCAAAGCACAACUGAAUCAAUCUGGUUUUGAAAAUGAAAAGUGUUUUUCUAAAUUAAGUGAAAAACAAUCGAUUGAUUUCUCGGUUUAGUCCGUUGUUUUGCACCCAGUCUGUUUGGAGGGUUUUCAAAUUGUUUUUGACUUGGUUAACUAACUGUUUAAACCAAUUCAACCGGUAAAAACAACAUUUCAAUCGAUUGAUUUUUGAAUUUCUUUUAACAGUUUUUCAAAAAGUUGUUAAACUUGUUUUCAUUUGAUUUCAAACUGUUUUGACUCGUGUUUAACUUCCUAAAAUGGCUAGUUUGAAGAGUUAUAAAACUUGGUUACCUUCCAUAUUUGAAGACAAAAAAAAAGAUAUUAAAAAACUAUUUUGAAAAAGAUUUGAUUCAAGUUUUGAUUAGGGAUUUGAAGUUCUUGUGCGAGAACCAAAAAGGAAUUUACUAGUGACUGAGAAAUUGGUGAUGACAAAGAUUUUAAAAAAAUUCUUCUUCAGUGUUUCAGCUUCACGUGCAUUGUGAGUUUCUUAAUGAAGAGUAAUGUGUGUAAAAAAAAUUUCUUUUUAGAAGAUCUUACAGCUGGAGUUUUUUCUUUUAAAAUAAUAAAAUUAAAAAUGUGACUCAUUUUUUAAUGAUUAAUAUUUUUUGGGGUUUCAAAAACCUCUACUAUGUGGUUAAUACGUACUGGGGAUUUUAAAAAAAAUCUAAGAGAGUGCUUAGUAGAGAUUACAGUAACCUCCAUAAUAAACCCCAAUUAAAAUUAUAUUUUCUUGUAUGUAUUAUUGAACAUAGUAUAUUAUAAUUUUAAAAAAUUGUAAAUUUAAAAUAAAAAAAGUAAUACUUUUUAUUGAAAAAUCAUGAAAAAAAGACUAUAGCAAUUUGUUCAUGAGAAGAGAUUUAUAAUAGAAAGAGAUAGAAGAAAGAAAAUACAAUAAUUAAGAAAGAAAUUAAUGAGAAUUAAAUAAAAUUUUAUAUUGCCUAAAUUAAAGGAAGUGAAAACGAAUAAAAAAAAUCUUCCUCCAUUUCUUUCAUCUGAUUUGAAAUAUAAUAAAAUUCCUUUUUCUUGAUGAAGUUCAAAUAAAUAAGGAAAAAUAGAUUAAACUUAUUUUUAGGUGUAUAGAAAUGGAUGAAAAGGAUAAAUAAAAGAGAAAAAUGCUGAGAAAAUAAAGAGGAAAUAUAAAAAAAAAACUACAAAGAGAAAAAAAAAAAAGUGAAAACAAAAGUGAGAGAGAAGUUAAAUAUAAGUUGAUAGGUAAUUGAACAGCAAAUUUACAAAGCAUUUGGUUUCCAUACUCUUCCCACAAUGUUUACAAAACAUUUGGUUUUCCAUACUUAUUUUUAUUGUUUUAAUAUAUACUCACUAGUGUCGGGUUCUCAAUAGUAUCUUCGUAUGCUCGGUUUUUUUUUACCACAAGGUCUGUUCGGUUCUUUUAUGCAGUAAGGGACCUGCUCGAUGCUUGGACCUAAGCAAACCUGGGCCAACGACCUUGGUCAGGAUGGGCCUAGAUCGCAUGAGAGGUAGCCAAAGUAAUUCCACUAGUGCACCCCUUAAAAGUUAUAUUUGGGUGGUAGAUAUAAUUUUGUUAUUAUUAUUAAUAUGUGGCAAUAUUUUACUGUUACGUAUCUGUUGCAUGUUUCUGUCGCAUAUCUGUUGCACGUGGCUAGUUGCUAUUAAUCCUAGUAAUAUAGGGAGCCGCUUGGGUAACAGAAAGUGGGCUUGCGGAUAGCACAUGAAGAUCAUUGGUGCCCGUGGCAAGCAGUUUUCCGUUACCAAUAAAAGUUUAAUGUAAUUAUUUUCAGUUAAGAUUCGUUGAGCUCAAGAGAUAGUGGUUGCAUGUUGCAUGAGUAGUCUCAAAGAAAAGGUACGCUGUUUUUCGCACAUCUUACUAAACUGUUACUUUUCGGUGAGCCCUAACUGACUUGAUCGUCGGAGUGUCAUCAACAGGUAGGGCACCCUCUGUCCCAACAGAACCAUACUAGAAGCAGUUAAGAGAGACGUUGAAGAAGUUGCGUUCAUCCUAGGUCAACUGGCAGUGCAGUCAACCGACAAGAACAAUUCAAAUUAUUGUCUAAUAUUUAUUUUAAGGUUUAGGGAAGAAGGGUCGACUAGGGAAGUCUUGUUGGUAAACACCCGAGUAGGGAGGAGCCACCAUUUGCUGACUCGAGAAACGUUAAAGGUACCACGGGUUGGAGCAUGCGCGGUGCUCGGGGAGGAGGUGGUGACCGUCUCCUCGGGGAGAGCUGCUGACACUUGGAUCACCCCUUACCAGUGAUAUCUAGCUGACGGCCUACUUCCUGAUGAACCUGCAGAGAGAAAAGUGGUGAAAAGAAAUUCGAGGAAAUACACGAUGAUUGAUGGUAAUCUAUUUCGCCAUGGGUACACUCGCCCUGUUCUUAUUUGCAUUUACGGCAAGCAGUGCGCCCGUGUGAUGAGCGAGCUACAUGAGGGCAUCUGUUGAAGCCAUGUUGGGGGUCGAGCGCUGGUGUUAAAAAUCAUACGUGCUGGGUAUUAUUGGCCGACGAUGAAAUAAGACUGCGGGAGUUACGUACAGCGGUGUGAGCAGUGCCAGAAACACGCCGACUGGCACCACACACCAAAUGGAUGCCAUACGACAAAUGAAGUACCUUGUGGUGGUCAUCGAAUACUUCACCAAGUGGAUUGAAGCUGAGCUUGUUGCCCAAAUCACCGCACACAAAGUACAGCACUUCGUGUGGAAGAACAUAGUAUGUCGCUUUGGGGUUCCCAGAUGUCUGGUGUCAGACAACGGAACGCAGUUCGGCAAUCAACAGUUAGGCAAGUUAUGCUCGGAACUCGGCAUAAAACAGUAUUUGCCUCAGUAGAGCAUCUUCAGACAAAUGGCAAUAUGGAAUCAGCCAAUAAAGUCUUGCUCAAAGGCUUGAAAAGAAGGUUAGAGAAAAUCAAGGGAGCUUGGACGGAGGAGGUUCCCCGGAUUCUUUGGGCUUAUCACACCACGCCACAAUCCAGCACCAAAGAAACACCGUUCAGUUCGGUGUAUGGAACGGACAAUAUGAUUCCCGUUGAAAUUCACGAGAGCUCUCCCCGGUUCCAGAACUUUGUCGCUGAAGAGUCUGAUGAGGGGAGGAGAAUGAACUUGGAUUUGCUAGAGGAAGUCCGCGAACAGGCGCGUAUAAAAUCAGAAGCAUUGAAAAGAAGAGUUGAACUGAGAUAAAGAACCAAGGUCAGACCUCGACAGUGUUAAAGAUGUGAAGCUUUAAUGUAUCAAAUCCUCAUGAAGCCUGAAGUUGUGUGUGUUUUAGGUUUAAUUUUUGUUAUGGGGUUUAGAAUCUUUGUAAGAUCAAUCUUGUUUCUCAAACAAAGCUUAUUUCAAUCUGUUUUAAAGAUUAAAGUGUUUUUCCAUGCAAAGGGAAAAACAACCGAUUAAAGUUUCGAGACAAUCGGUUGUUUGUCACUUAGCUGGCAAAGAAGUUUUGAAACUGUGUUUUUGAAUCAGUUGUAUAACUACCAAAACCAUUCAACCAGUUAAAUCGCAGUUUUAACCGAUUAAAUGUAAGUUUUCAUAAUAGUUUUUUGAAAACCUGUUUUAACUGAUUCAGUUGUUCAAAUAUGCUUUCAAUGGUAGCUUGUCAAGGUUUAUAAAAAUUGUCCUCUUUCAAACAUUUAGGAUUGAUGAACAAGAGAAGUUUUAUACUCUGAUUUGAGAUUGAUUAGAGAGAUUACCAACUAUUUGUGAAAAGGUGUUUUUCCAAGUUUAGCAAGAUUGCUUUUGGGCUUUGCUGUGAUUCAAGAACUGAUCCAAGUGUUUUCUACCCUUGUUUAGCUUCUUGUAAUUGUUUAUAUUACACUUUGUAAAAACUAUUGUAAAAUCCUGUAAAGUCAGUGUGAUUCUGGCUUGAGGCGUUGGCUGUGUGCAAAGAGGAUGAGUAGGCUUUGUGGGAUUCAAAGUCACCUCUUUGUGGUGUGUGUUUGUAAUAUGUGAUUGGUAACAUAGUGAAAUACUCAGUGGUUUGACUGAGGACUAGAUGUAUCUCUGGAAUUGAGUGAACCAGUAUAAACCUCGUGUGUAAUUCUUUCUAUCUCUUCUCUCCAUAACUGUUUGAUUUUUUCCGCUGUCAUAAACAACCGGUUAAAUCGUCAUUUUAACCAAUUAUAAUUCUGAUAUCUGUUUUUGUUUGUCCAUUUGAUUGACUUUUUGAAUUGCUUUUCUAAGUUGAUUGUUAAAGAUUCAUUCUAAGGAAAGUAUUUGUGAAAAUCUUUUAUAAACAAUUCACCCCCCUCUUGUUCUAGCCAUCAAUCCUAACAGACAGUUCCAGGUAUCCGACUUGGUAAUGCGGAAAGUUCAUCCCUACCAAUUGGAGGAUAAGUUGUCUCCAAAAUGGACAGGGUCGUUUCGUGUGGGAAAAGUGGUCAGGAAUGGUGCAUAUAAGUUAGAAACCUUGGAGGAGGACCCAUCCAACAAACGUGGAACGCUGCUAAUUUUAGUUAAUUGUUGUUAAACAAAAUGGUGCUACAGGGUGACACUGUUUUUCCCUUAAAGAGGGUUUUUUAACGAGGUCACCUAAUAAAUAAGUUGUUUAUGAUGCAUUGUUGUUUUCUCUUAAUCCCUGUUGUUCGAUUGUGAUGCACAGUGCGAUGACCCCUCUCGGAGAGGUUCUCUGAGAAAGGGUCGUGUGAGCGAUUAAUUACCAUUGGCAGAUAAAUCGACCUUCCUUGUGAAGUCGCACUGUGGGUAAAAGUUGCGUAGAUGCCUCAUCCGGACAAGCACGAGUUAGGCCAACCCGGUGUGAAAGUGAUCACUCGGGACUAGGUGCUCUGUAGGAUGAGUAAAGUUGCACAAAUAGGUCACCUAACCUAGCGCGAGGUAAGACGGGCUAGCCCGGAGUGAAAGAAAUCACCCGGGUCUAGGCGCUCUGUGGGGUAGGUGAAGGAUGAGCUAGUCCGAUGUGUAAGAAAAACUUGAGUAUAGACACUAAGUGGGAGGAGCUGGUGGCACAAGUGAAUGAUGCGAUUAGUGUAGGACAACUCAGGAGUUUCCAAUCACUCAAGUGCAAGUGCUCUGUGAGAAUGAUAUUUGGCUGUAUAGCUCAAUCGUUUGAGCACGUGCCAGGCAAGGCGACACUUGUUGGAUUCGAUGUAAGACGCUUUUGAACGCACUACUUUGAACGCUAGCCCGUAGAGACUAUGGUGAAUAGUUCAACCAAAGGUUAGUUUCGUUAAACUUUGAUUAUGCUUAUUGUCCCAUGUCGAGAAGAGUCGGCACUGACAACGCAAUUGAUUGAGUAAUAUACUCAGAUAGGUACACGUUAUCGUAAGCUAUUUGAACUAGUUAAAGUUAAAUAAGGCAUGCAUGGGCAAAGUUCGAAAGGUUUGUUAUAUACGACACAUGAUCAAAUAAAAUGGUUCCUUAAUGGUAAUAAAGAUAAAGUAGGAUAUAGUUUAUAGUUACAUUAACAUAAUAAGAUUAAAAUUCCUACUCCUCUACUAGUUGCCCGUCCACGACCUUUUUGUUUGGUGCUAGCUAAGAGAAGUCCAAGCUCGGGUGGAGGCUGGAGGCUUGCUCAACAACAACCUCAAAGCCCACCAAGAGAGCUUAAGCAGCCUCACCCUUAUAGACUUCGACCUCAUCAGCAAAGAACUUAUCCUUCUGGACAAGCUCUUGUUGCAAUCGUGACAAACGCUCGUCUUGCUCGGCUAGGCGAGACACCUGCUUAACGACCUCCUUAGUCUUGGCCUCCAAGAGUUGCUGAUUUUCAGGUGAAGGGCUCAGAGUUUUUGGAUUUCCUGUUCCAGGUUCGCCAUUCUCUGUUGGGAGUCCUGUUUGUCUUGUUCGAUGGCAACCUCUUGACGCUGCAUUUUCUUCACGACCACACAGCUUGUGGCUAGAGCCUAUCCGAACUGCUUCACAACCUCUUACAGCAGAUGUUGGCUGCUAUGGGCAUCCAUUCUCUCCUCGUCCUCAGGGCGCAAGAGAGCAUCCUCUAGGAGGGAGGUAACUUCAACACCCUGGUCCCAAAGGUCUUUUCGCCUUGAACUCUCCACACCCACCUCAAGAGGGCAUGGCAUGGCAACAGGGGUAUGCAGAGGUUGUGAUGGAGGCGCAACGUUUGAGGCCACCUGGCCUCGGGAGGGUGUGGGCCUCGGGCUAGUGGCUUGAGCCCUCCCACACUUUCUAGUAAAGACGAAGCCCGAAGCGGUGUCUUCAUCAUCUUCAGAGGAGGUGGGCACAACCACCACCUUCGAUGGAGCACGACUGACCAUCUUUGCCUUUGCGGGCAGCCUCAGCAGGUCCUCUUUGUUCAAGCGGGCCAACAUGCUAUCUGCAGGAAAGACUAAAGCAAGAAUAUGUUAUGCUUCACAAGUAAUAAAUCCUAAUCUCUGAAGUUAGAGGAAAAAGGUAUACCAGUGUAACUCUUUAGAGAGUUCGGGUCAUACUCGUGGGCCAACAGAUAGACCGUAUCAAAGACAAUAGGGAAGCUUGUGAUCGGCAAGGGCUAACUUCUCUAAACACCAGGUAAGCUUCGAGUUGGGAUUCUCGGUCUAGUAUAAAGGAAACUCGUCCAAGAGAUCAGGGUGUUUUUGGUUAGCUCGGAUGUUCAGAAAAUGGUCUUUGAAGUUUUUGUAAGAGGAUUGGAAGAGGGUAAGGAUUCCCCUUCCAGGGAUGCUGUUUACUGAAACCCAGAGCUGAUGCUGUAGCUUAUUCACCUCGAAGAGGUAAAGAAACACAUCGAGAAAAGGAAGGACGCUGAGCUGAUUGCAAAGAAUGCAAAAGCACGGACAAAUGCCCAACUCUUAGGGUGCAAUUGGGUUGGGGCUACGUUCAGCUCGGUCAAAAGUUCUUUCUCAAAAACUAACAGGGGAAGACAGAGGUGUAUUCUUUGAAAACCAGUGGCGUAAACGUAACGAAAAGGCUUACCCGGGGACGUGGCUUCAUCACAACAUACGGGUUCAUCGGGUGAGCAUGGGUCUAGGAAAAUCCAAUCGUCUUCCUGAUAUGAUUCCAAUAACAAGAUAGAGAUGUUUCAUAGUCAUUAUAUGGAAUCAAAUUGAGUUGGAAUAUGAUUAGGCACUUUUCAAGAAUUGGAUCAAUGUUCUUAAUAUUCAAGAACUGACCAAAACACAAGUAACCAAGACAAACUCAUGUAGAAACCCAUUUUUUGACAAAUGAACCGAUUGAAAUGCACAAGAAAGCAAAGGAAGCGAUUAAAACUAACUAGAAAUCAAUUGAACCGAACAAAACCAUGAAAGAAAACAUUUGAACCGAUUAAAGCAGUAAAGAAAUGAGAUGAACCGAUUAAAACAAGAUAAGAACCAAAAGAUCCGAACAAAAGUGCAAGAAAAGCCUAAGACAUGUUUAUAGAGUUUAUAAGGACAUGGAAAUGGAUGAAUAAGAUGGAAAAGAGAAGGAAACUUAUGUGGUUGGAGUUCUUGGAGAUGAACACGCCACUUGAAGGAUGUUAGGCUUCAAGAUGAGUGUAGAUGUCGCCACUUGAGGUUCCAAGAUGCACUCAAGAUAAGACUAGAAGAGGAGAAGACAAAUCUCACUCACUCAAUCACCAAUUUGGGAGAGUUUCGGUAGUUAUCAAAUCAAUUCUCUCUAUUUAGAAGGACCCAAGCCCUCCUUAUAUAGGAAGAGGACCGGUCAUGAAGUACAUGAAGCUUACACAAGAAGCUAUCCAAAAGGUCCCUUGCACAUCUCUCACUUUCUAGCGCCUAAAGUGAGUGAUAAAGGGUCAAUCUACUAGAAAGUUCUAAAACUAAUAUCUAAAGAUGAUUUGACAUAAGAGCUAUCUUUAGGUUUCCCUUUUAGCACCUUUCCUAAAACUAUAUUUAAGCAUUAUUUACAAAUUGAAAGAAACUAUAAAGAGAGAUAUUAAUUGAAGCUCAUUCUUGAAAGCUUGUAGUCUUCUUUGGCUUUAAGCUUGGUCCUCUCUUUAUUUAAUUCUUCUUUAAUUUUUGAGAAGACUAGAAAGAAGAACUUCAAAUGUGUGGGUGAAUGACCUCUUCCUCCAUUGGUAGAAUCCUCUCUUAUUUGAUCUCUAUCACUUUCCUACCAAAGAGGCAUAUUUUUUUUCCUAAGGGCCACUAUUUUUUCAUGAGAGGUGUAUGAGGAGGUUUCAGAAAGGAGGUUCGGGGGAGCCCAGGGAUACAAGGUUUUAUAAUCCAUAAGGGCUCGCGACUAGGCACAGUCACACGUAGAAGCAAAACAGUUCAAACCCAACACAAUGCAAAAAUAAGUUUGAAUUCGAACAAAAGAAAAGGAAAAUAAAACCUAGCUAUGUAUUUCGGGGAUCAUAUGAUUACACGCUAACAGGCAGUGUUGAGCAUAAACCAGACAUAGAUGAAAAUAGAGUAAUCUCAGGCAAAGCAGACAAAGGAUGAAUAAUUGGGAGGGGAAAAAAAGAGUACCUUUCGUGAUUGAUCAAGGAAAGCUCGAAGAAAUGGGUGGAAGAUUGUUGAACGAGGCAAGGGAGUAAGAGAAAAAGCUCUAAAUAAUGAAUAAUGGAAGAUGAAGUUUUAGGGGUUUUAGAAUUUUUGGAAAAGGAAUUCUAAACGGUUGAGUUUCGUUACCAUUAGCACUGGAACACGUGUACAAGUGGGGACUGUGAACAGUAAAACUUUGCUUCAAAAAUCGCGCUCACCUACCUCUGAGAAACCGUCACGUCAACGAUCAACGGUGCUCGGAAGACUCUUCGCUCAGCCAAGCUCAGCUCGAGCCUGAGGUGCUUGUGUACUAAUCAGUGCCCGGUUCUCGAUAGUAUCUUCGUAUGCUCGAUUCUUUUGUACCACGAGGCCUGCUUGGUUCUUUUACGUCGUAAGGGACCUACUCGGUGCUUGGGCCUAAGCAACCCUGGGCCAACGACCUUGGUCAGGAUGGGCCUAGAUCGCAUGAGAGGUAUUCAAAGUAAUUCCACUAAUGCACCCCUUAAAAGUUAUAUUUGGGUGGUAGAUAUAAUUUUGUUAUUAUUAUUAAUAUGUGGCAAUAUUUUAUUGUUACGUAUCUGUUGCAUGUUUAUGUUGCAUAUCUGUUGCACGUGGCUAGUUGCUAUUAACCCUAGUAAUAUAAGGUGCCGCUUGGGUAACAGAAAGUGAGUUUGCGGAUAGCACCUGAAGAUCAUUGGUGCCCGUGGCAGACAGUUUUCAGUUACCAAUAAAAGUUUAAUGUAAUUAUUUUCAGUUAUCGCUGAACUCCACAGAGAGUGGUUGCAUGUUGCAUGAGCAGUGAUAAAAAGGAGAAUAGGUCUCCAAGAAAAUGUACGCUGUUUUUAGCACAUCUUACUAAACUGUUACUUUUCGGUGAAUUCUAGCUGACUUGAUCGUCGGAGUGUCAUCAACAGGUAGGGCGUCAUCUGUCCCAACAGAAUCAUACUAGAAAUAGUUAAGAGAGACGUUGAAAAAGCUGCAUUCAUCCUAGGUCAACUAUGGCAAGAACAAUUCUAAUAUUUAUUUUAGGGAUCAUAUUUUUUUUAAAUACUACAUUGUGUCACUAUAUCAAAUAACAUUGGUGUGUAGACAUUAGUGGGUGAUCAUUUAAAUCAAAAACAGUUAACAGUUAGGGUCAUAUAGUCCGCUUCACUCACUUCACUUUUACUUCCUUCUCCCUUUCCUUCUUCUAUAUAAACCCCACACCCUGCAACCUUCUCACUCACCAACUCAACCAACAACUCAAUCAAGUCCUCCCAAACCCUAAACCAAAUCCCAUUUCUUCAAUUCGCCAUCCCUUGAGUUGUUUCCAUGGCCACCCUCAACUCUGCGUGCGUCGUUGCCGUGCUGUGCUUGGUGGUGCUGACGGCACCCACUGCACAUGCCGCCAUCUCCUGCGGCCAGGUCACAAGUUCCCUGGCUUCAUGCAUCCCUUUCCUCACGAAAGGUGGGCCGGUGCCAGCGUCAUGCUGCUCCGGAGUGAGGUCCCUCAACGCCGCCGCAAAGACCACCCCAGACCGCCAGGCGGUCUGCAACUGCCUGAAAUCCGCCGCCGGUGCCAUCCCUGGAUUCAAUGCUAACAACGCAGGCAUACUCCCGGGCAAGUGUGGCGUCAGCAUCCCCUACAAGAUCAGUACCUCCACCAACUGCGCUACGUAAGAGAAAAACAAAAUUUAUCGUUCAAACUUUUUUAUAUAGUUUUCUAAAUUUUUAUUCUAUACAUAAAUUAAAAUUAGUUUAUAAAUAAAUUAUUAUAUUUUUUUAGUAUUUUUAUUUUUCAAACAUAAACCUGAUACACUUAGUUGAAUCUUAUCUAUUUUUUUAGUAAACUGAAAAAGAAUAAACUUAUUGUGAAGUAAAAAGUAGUUGAUAGAUAAAAGUACGUUGAUCUCAAAUAAUUUUCAAACAGAUUAAGAGAAAAUAAAUUUAGUUCUGGUUUUAAUUUUUAAGUAACUGUCACUAGAACAAUUAUUAAAUUAUUAUUGCAUAAAAAUUGUAAAAAUGUUUUGUAACAUUUUUUUUUUCAUUUUCAAUGAUUUAAAGGUUAUUUAAAGAUAAAAUGUAACAAAACUAAACAAAAUCAGACCAAAAUUAAAUUUCUAACCGGUUUUGAUAUGAAAGGGGAGUUUGAAAGAAAACUAUAAAAUAUGUGAUAUGAAAAGAAAUAGAAAAAUAUGGAAGAAGACAGAUGCAAUAAAUGAGAAAGUAGAUGUAUCAUUAUAUAGUUAUCCAUAAAAAGAAAUUCUAAAUUCAAUUAUAAAUUUUCUUUUAUAAAUUUGAAUCUGCGAUGGAAAUAAGUUGUGUUUGAAGUGAGAUUAAUUCAUCAUAAUAUACUACAUUAAUGUAAUAUAAAGUUAGAUAUUUUGAUUUGAGAUUCAUUAUUAUGAUUUAUUUCUUGAUUGCACUUGCAGUAUCAAGUUUUGAAGAAGAAGGCACUGGAAACUACUCAGUAUAGAAUGAGUAUAUAUCCUGAAUACUACAAGAAUAAGACAAAAGGUGACGAGGGCUCCACUUAUAUGCCCCUCUAAUCUUCAAAUGAGAUAUUUUAUUUGUAUUGAAGAGGUUUUAAUAUGUUGUAAUGUUAUUUACUCCUAUAUCUACUUUAAAUUGGGUUUCUCACCACUUUGUCUGGGUGCUCAUUUUAGGGUUCAUCAUCAUUUAUCACGUCUCUUUAUGUUGAAAGUCAUUAAAAAGAAACGUACUCGAUUGGUAAUAUAUAAUUGAUUAGAUUAAUUCCAGAAAUUCAUCAUCUUAAUAACCAGUCUUAAAAUGGUAUACACUACAACAAAAUCAUUAAUUAAAAACCUAUAAAAUUAAAAAUAAUUAAUUAUUAUAGUUAAUAAAUUAAAAACUAUUUUAAAGAUUAAAAAAAUUAUUAAUUUUUAAAUUAAUUUUUAUUAUUGAUAAAUAGUUUUUAAAUUGAAUUUAAUUAGCUAUCAAGGUUUUAACUACCAAUUAUUUAAAUUUUAAAUUUGAUAAAAGAAAUUUAGUAACUAAUUAAAUAUCAAUUUAAAAAUUAUUAUCAAUAAUAGAAACUAAUUUAGAAAUUAACAAUUUUUUAGUCUUUAAAAUGAUUUUUAAUUUAAUUAUUAUAAUUAAUUAUUUUUGUUUUUAAAAUUAGUUAUUUUUUAGUGUAUGAUUAGAAAUGUUUGUCUUUCUAAACUUUAAUGGUGAUAAUUAAGGUGGUUAAAGGUCUUUCUCAUAUAUUCGCUAAGCAGCUAGUGGAAUUACUCAAACAUAAAAUCAAUGAAUAGUCAAAAGUUCUAAUUACAGACAUACUUUGCUAAUUUUAAACACUUGCAUUAUUUAAACUUUCAAAAAAGUGUCCCCUUUUAAAAUAUUAGAGAUUAACUAUAAUUCUCUCGAAAAUUAAAAAUAACAAUACAUAUAUUAUUUAUUGAAAUAAUUCCAUAAAAUAACCUUACUCUCAUAUAUAGUAACUUGGCAUGACUUUUAUUUGUCAUAAUUUUAAAAUAAAAUAAUUAAUAUUUAAAACUAAAAACUAAAAAAUAAAUUUAAAAUUUCUUUUCAAACUAAAACUAUAAUUAAUUUGAAACAUGAAAUGUUAUAAUAAUAUUGUAUAUAAAUAUAUAUUGAUCUUUCAUGUAUAUGCAUUUUUAAUGUUCCUGUCCUUCUUUAAACAAUAUAAAGGCCUCAGUUGCAUCAAGAAAAAUAUGAAUUAGUGUCCAAAAAAUUGGUUAAUAAGAAAAAUAUGAAAUAUUGACAAAAAUGUGGUUACUAAGGAAAAUAUAAAAUAUAAAAUAUUGACAAAAAUUUGGUUACUAUUAAAAUAGUAACUAAUUUUGUGACGGAAAAGAAUUAUUACUCUUUUGUUUUAUUUAGUCACUAAAUCUACGACUACAAUAUGUAAUCAAAUUAGUAAUUAAGUACACUAAAAGUUUCACUUUGAGAAUGUUGAAAUUCCAUUUUCUCUAUGUAAAGAAGCAUUAUUAUUUUGUUGUUUUAUUAAAUUUUUCAGUCUCAUCCUUCAUGACCUUCCUUUAUGACCUGGAUAGAUGAAGAUGUAGAGUCAUAAGAUUUUCUCUCAAUUGUUUUGGUUAACUCAAAUCCAAGACCUUAUAUCCUUCCUUUAUUAAUUCCAACAACUUUAUACUUAUUAAAGUUGUAAUUCAUUAGUGGAAACAUUUGUAUAAUAUAUGUUUAUUGGGAUGCUUCUUCCCGUGCUUAAUUAAAUUUUAUUUGUGAACAUAGAAAAGUGGUAAUAAAUUGAAAAAAAUAUAAAAAAGAUAGUAAUGUUGGACAAAUUGACAUGUUAUUUAUGACUAACAUCAACAUGUGUUGAUCUUUAAUCAACCCAUGUGUUGUCCUUCUUCCAUUUGUGUAUAUUACAAAACAAUUGUGAUGGGGUAGGAGGUUUUCGCUCAACUUUGUCUAAGAUAGGAUCAAGAAAAAUAUCAAUUUAGAAAUUACAAUAUAAAAAAAAAAAACAACUUUCUCAACUUAUUUAUGAAGGAAAUAAAGAAGAUUAAAGCAUGAAUACAAAUAACAUUUAUAUUUACUAUAAUGUUUUGUAUUCUUUCCAUAAAAUAAUGCUUAGAAGUAUUCAUAUUUCACAUAAUUUUUUUGAAUAUAGUUUCAAAUUUAAUCACAAAACCAAUAAAGGCAUUGUCUAAAAAUGAUUUUACUUUAUUGAGGAAUUUUGAUUUAUGUUGUUUUUAUAAGUUUUUCUCAAAAGUAUUGACUUCUAGCUUUUUACAAGUAGCUUCCUCACUCUAUCUUUCCAAUCCCCUACCUCAUUUAAUAAAUAUUAUUGUUAUUACUCAUAUUGAGGACCACCCUAUUAUUAUAUGUAUAAACUCUAUUAUAACAUAAUGUUUUUCUAAUCUAUGAGUGCUCAAGUUGUCCAAAUCAAACAGAAUCAAAUUGUAAAAUCAUUUUUUCUCAAGUGAACAAAACUAAAAUGUUAAAAGUGUUCCUAGACCUGUCCAUUUGGCCCAGCCUAUAGGGCUUGGUCCUUACAUACGGUGAAGGCAAAAAUCCCACAUGGCCAAAAUAACCCAUACAAGAGAAAGCCAAUAUGGCCAAAAUGUCACCAAAAGUCCUAUGGGUUAAAGUCAACCUAUGGACCAUUUUUUAAAUUGAAAAACUUAUUUAAAAAUGAAAAUGAACAAAAUACUUAUAAAAAAUAUUUAUACACAUGAAAAUUAUUUAUACAAUCCAAAUACAAACUUAGUAUCAACAAAGACGAGUUGGACUUAGGUUAAGUUAAGUCAGGCUGACAUCAUCUCAAGUUGGUCAACAUAAGCCCAAGUCAGGUCGAGUCCAGCUCACACCGAGACGAAUCAAAUCUAUGUCAGGAUGAGUUAGGCUUACAUUGAGUCCAGGUCAAUUUGAGUCCAAUAUCGGGCAAGUAAGAUCAGACUAAGAUGGCUCGUGUAAGACCAACUUGGGUUGAUGAACAUAUAUUUAUUCACACACAAUAGCCUUAAUCAUAGAUUAUUGGACUAUAAUAAUAAAUAAAUCUAUUGUUUUAAUUAAUAUUCUUGUAAUUGGGUUUAUUUGGGCCUUAAUUAUUAUUUUUGUUAAUUUUUUGUUUUUAGAGUAAAUUAUCCGGACGAAGAAUCUACCUUUGUGAAUGGGCCAAAUAUGCAAAAGUACAAGUUGCUUCUUUGAAUCAAAACAGAAAACAAAUUCUGAGGAGAAGAAAGAGAAAAUAAAAGCUACAAGAUCCCAGAAACAUAAUUGGAAGCAAAUCUUCUGCAAAAUAAAAAGAAUUAUGGAAAGUGGAAACUGUUUACAAAAUCUAAACUGCAAUAUUUUCCCAAGAUCCUUGGAGCAGAAAAGCCUAUAAAAGGACACAAGCAUCAAGUAGAAGAGAGAGCUUCAUAGGGUUUUCUUAGUUUCUUUUCUUCUUUGUAAUUCUUUUGUUUUGCCUCCGCAUGGAAGGCUAAACCUUUUUGGUUGAUUCUUUUGUAAUUCCCUAUUGAGUUCUGAGGUUUUGUCAAUAAAAGUUUCAUUUGUCAAUUCUUUAUAGCAGUUGUUUUUAUUGUCUAAUCUUCUGGAAAACUAGUUUUUGUGAGAGGUUGUACUUGAACGCAUGAUUGAGAGUCUUCCUUAUCUUAAACUUUGGUUUCUUAGUUAGUUCGCAUUGUUCUAAUUAAUUUCUUGGGCGCAUGAUUCAAGAGAGAGGAGAAAAUCAUUCCCAUGGAGUAUACGCAUGGAACAAAGUGAGUAUUGAUUAAACUAGUAGACGCAUGUUUUACUGGUGAGUUUCAGUUGAAUCAGAUUGACGCAUGUUCAAUCUGAUUUAGCUCUGUUGGAGGAUUGAGAAAAGAUUAAUCUUUUGAGAACCUGUGAAGAAUUCAAUGGUGGAAGAACUUGGGGAUCAACCGCUUUUUAUUUUCUAUUUCAAUCUCUUUUAUAUUUUCUGCAUAACUAUCUUAACCCCCUUUUUAUUAUUAUUGUUAUUACUAACUUUUCAUUGCUUAUAGAUAGAUUUUAAAUUCGAUUAACUGAAUCACUAUUGGAUUCGUUGGGAGACGACUUUGGGUCAUCUGACCACAAUUAUACUAUCAUAUAUCUAGUGUUAGACAAGUCUACCCUAGAAUCAUAUUAAUUUGACAACAAAACGACAACUAUCAAAUUUGGCGCCGUUGCCGGGAAAUCCAAUUUGAUUUUGGUUAUCAGGUUCUUCUUUUUAUCUGCAUAAUUUUUUUUUCCUAAUUUUAUUUUCUGCAUAUUUAACCUGUGUUUUAUUCCUAUUAAUUUUUCUUUAUUUAGUAUAGCAAUAAAAAAACGAAAAAAAUCUAAUAUUUAGGAUAUCUCUUAUUUUAUUUUAUUUUGAUUUGUUUUUAUUUUCUUUCUUUAUAUUUUUAUCUUUAUUUUGUUUUGAUUUGUUUUAUUUUCUUUCUUUAUAUCUUUUAUCUUUAUUUUGUUUUGAUUUGUUUUUAUUUUAUUUUAUCUCCUAUAUCUUUUAUCUUUAUUUUGUUUUUGAUUUUAUUCUUUUAUAUCUUUUAUUUUUAUCUUAUUUUGCCUUUAUUUUAUAUCUUUUCUGUUUUUAGUUAUUUUUUUUAUUUUGUUUUGUCAUCUUUAUUUAUUUCUAUUUUGGUUUUUGUUUACAGUUUUUAUUUUCUAUAUUUUAUUUAUUUAUUUUUUUUUUUACAUAAUUUUUUUUCUCUAACUAUUUUUUUAAGCAUUAAGUGUAGCAUUUGCAUUAGUUUUUUUUUAAUAGGAUCUUGCAUUUAGGGUAGACACUUCAGUUACUACUCUUUGAUUUUUUAAUAUUGAAAGCAAUUCAGGGAAGACUCUGGCUAGGAAAGACUUGGUUUCUAAGUUUGUCCACUUGUGACUCACCUCUCUUUCUUGGGAGUUUACUUGGUUUGCUUUUCAAUUUAAAAAAAAAGAGUUUGCUUUAAGGCGUCUAAUAGGUGUUGGUGUCCAUUACAUAUCUCCCUGUUUUCAAUUCUAAAAUGGAACGAAAAUUAGCUGAACAAAUUUACAAUUAUGAUAUUCAUUGUGAGCCAUAUUUGCAGCAAUCUUCAUAGUUUUAUAAACAACUUUUACAGCAAUGUGAACCCUACUUUCAACAGCCUCACAUUAUAAUUCAUAUUAUCAACAAUGUGAGCAGCCUUUGCAGCAAUGUGAACCCUACUUUCAAUCACCUCAACAUUAUAAUUCAUAUUAUCAGCAAUAUGAACAGCCUCUGUAACAAUGUGAGCCUCACUUUCAGCAGCCUCAACAUUAUAAUCCAUAUUGUUAACAGUCUUAUGAGCAACCUCAACAACAACCAUAUUAUCAACAAAACUAUUUUGAUGAAAGUCAAACAUCUUUUCAACCAUUUGUGCAAACUGAUAAUACUCCUCGUAAUCUUGAAGAACCAACUUUAGAGGAGUUGAUGAGGAAAAUGACGGACAUUAACACAAAAUUUCAAGAAUGGGCGGCUGAAAAAUAUCCAAUUCAAAAGGAAGAACCAAGGCAAAUGAGGGAGAUCAACAUGAAAUAUGAUCAAGAAUGGGCGGCCAACAAAAUUGCAAUUCAAAAGGAAGAACCAACUUUAGAGGAGUUGGUGAGGCGGAUGGAGGAGAUGAACAUGAAAUAUGAUCAAGAAUGGAAGGCUAAAAAAAUUCUAAUGCAAAAGGAGGCUGAUGUUGUAGCAAGAAGAGAUAAAAUCGAUCAAAUGAGUGGAGAGGUUGCAGAUUAUGUUCAAGAGAUGAAAUCACCUCAUGAUCCAGAUAUAACUCUUGAUCCAGGCAUUGAUGGAAUGUCUAACCUUGAAGCACCUACCUCUGCCAUAGACACUCUCGAAAAGAAGUGGGGCAUAUCAACUGUUUUUAAAGUUAAUCUGAAUGAUUUGCAUGAAGCUGAGUUGGCUGAACCUAAGAUUGCUACACCAUUGAAUGCUAUUGUCCAACUUAUGGAGGAGAAAUCAUUGAUAAAUCAUGAGGGAUUAAAAGUUGUGACAUGUGAAGAUCAUUUAGUGCAUCACGUAAACACUGAGGAUGAAAAUGUGUUUGAGUUUCUAGGAGAUUUUAACUUCUCUAAUCCAGUUAAAUGUACAGAGGCUGAGAUAAAUGAGUUCUUAGAAUGCACUAACCCUUGUGAUGUAGGUCUUGAUACAAAAAUUGUUGAUGCUGCUAUACUUUUCGAAUCUACUGAAAAAGAUUGUGCACUUAAUGGCUCUGACAAAGUUUUGGAGGAAAUACAAGAAGAGGAAGAGCAGAUGUUACCCAUAUUUCAGGUAGACACUGCUAGAAGAGAAAAACAUGAUAUUAUUCUUACAUCCUUAAAGCUAUAAAGAAUACAACCUCCACUAUUUAAGGUGAAACCCAUAUCACUCAUUCCAUCAUCUCCAUUGGCUACACCUUCUAUCAUAAUUGGAACGUUUGAAAGCAGCCUUUACAGCCACCACCACCUCCUAACUUACAUUUCAUUCCAUCUCCCACCCCAACUAGACCGUCUACCCUAGCUAGACUAUCUAGCCUUAGACCACCACCCUUAGACAAUCCCCAAACAGUUAACCAUAUUAGAUCGUCUAUAUUGAAUAAAUUUACAUCUUCCAUCUAUACUCUGGACAAUACCAUCAUCCAUUCAUGGAAGAAACUGUACCAUUUCACACGCCCUCCAGACCUACCCCAGUUCCAUCCACUAUUUCAAGGCUUCUUCAUUAUAAUGUUUUUGUUACAUAGUUUACCAACGUACUGCAUGCUUUGGUUAGACGCUCCAGCUGAUAGUAUUUCUACACCACUUUGGAUGAAGAGUCUUGGCUUGUACUGUAGAGGGGAUGGUUGAAACAGCUGCAACAGCCACUUCCCUCAAGCUGAAUGAGGGAGUACUUCUUCUCGCACUUUUAUUGUACACAUUUAUUUAUUGAUUUUACAUUGAGGACAAUGUGUGAUUUAAGUGUGGGGGAGGAGAAUCGUAGUUUAGGAUUUAUCUUUUGUUGAUUUAUUUUUGUGUUUUUUGUUUUUCUCUUAUUUGUUUGAAUUUCUUUUUGCUUCUAUUAAAAUAAAUAAGCUUUUUAGGAUUAUCUAAUGGCUGGCAUGUUUUUAAUUCUAGCAAAUCUUGGUUUCUUGAUCUUUGUUGUUUGAAUUUUCUUAAAAAUUGAUAAAUAAGUUGGUUAUGAGAAUUUUUGGGUUGAAUCUUUUGAUAGAAUGUCCCUAGUGAGUUUUUGAGCCUUAAUUAAUAUAUCAUUUAUUUUUUUUUAGUGUGUUUUCACUCAUGUUUACUUAUACUCUAGAACUUAGUUUGAUUCUUUGUUUUACAACUGUGAUUUACGUGCAUGAAUUGAUAUGAUUGAGGCAUUCUUUGUUUAAAUUAACCCACUAGCCAUAUUAGCCUACCUUUAUGAUAAUUCAUUUGUUAGCCCCUUGAGCCUAUAGCCUUUUUUUUUUUAUUUUUAACCCUCAUUACAAGCCUCAAAACAGAAAAGCCAUGUUUGUCCCUACCUUAGAAGAUGAAGGAGAUUUGAAAUUAUUUGGGGAAUAGGUUUUUGAAUAAGUGUGGGGGUAUAUCUUAUUUUCAUAGUUUACCUCUUCAGUUUUAAAGAAAGAAAAAAGAAAAGGGAUAGAAAAAAAGGAAUACAAAAAACAAAAAAAAAAGCAAAGCAAAAAAAA
RNAcentral lists this long non-coding RNA (32176 nucleotides) under Phaseolus vulgaris (common bean). RNAcentral describes it as "long non-coding RNA (PVUL_LNC000640)". The record is from RNAcentral. Lineage: Eukaryota; Viridiplantae; Streptophyta; Magnoliopsida; Fabales; Fabaceae.